AUAAUAAAUAUUGCAUUUAAGGACACCUUAAAUAAUAUCUAAUGACGUUUUAAAGCGUGGACAAGAAUAAUUCCGAUGCUUGUAAAAACAUCGAAUAAAGUGUCGUUAAGUAAAAUAAACAUAUCGGGAUAAAUAUACUGACGCUUUAAUAUUGCGUCGGAAAAUUUUUAUCAGCUUUUGAUAAAAAUAUAUUUUAUUGGUGACGUUUAAUUAUCGUGUCGGUAUAUGUCAAAUAUUGAAGACAUUAAAGUAAAGCGUCAUUUAAAAAGUACCGUUUAAAAUAUAUUU
RNAcentral lists this long non-coding RNA (288 nucleotides) under Ananas comosus (pineapple). RNAcentral describes it as "long non-coding RNA (ACOM_LNC036647)". The record is from RNAcentral. Lineage: Eukaryota; Viridiplantae; Streptophyta; Magnoliopsida; Poales; Bromeliaceae.